Molecule: long non-coding RNA, 403 nt
Filed under: Homo sapiens (human)
Lineage: Eukaryota; Metazoa; Chordata; Mammalia; Primates; Hominidae
Description: HSALNT0039202
Source: RNAcentral
GAAAAAGCAAGUCUUCGAUUGGGGUGCUGGAAGCUUUGAAAAGUUACUGUUAAAUUGAAGCAACUAAAACAUCUAGAGAUUGAUGGAUCUUCCCACCUGAUCCUCACCUUGUUAAUGAAAGCACAGAAUUUGGAAAGUCUAAACAAGGUUAUUGGAAAAAUACAAUACACACAUAUCUAAUUUUGGAAAGUAAACUUUAUAACUCUUUUGUAGUCAGGCAUCGUCAAUGUGUUUAUAGCCUCAGCAGCCUCAACAGCUACAAUAAUUUUAAGUAUUAUUUUUACCCUGCAGAAAAGUCAAUUCAUUUUCAACAAUGUUUCAGUGAAAUUAAGUGGCAGAUUACUUUUUAAUUAAUCAGAGUUUUUUGUUAAUGUUUCUGUUUUAUAAUGUUGAAUACAUUUCU